This 253-nucleotide ribosomal RNA is filed under the name uncultured bacterium. Its description in RNAcentral is "partial 16S ribosomal RNA". It matches the Rfam family "Bacterial small subunit ribosomal RNA", at positions 524 to 776 of the family's 1533-position model. The record is from RNAcentral.
GACGUAGGGCGCGAGCGUUGUCCGGAUUUAUUGGGCGUAAAGAGCGUGUAGGCGGCUCGAUAAGUCUGCUGUGAAAGUCCAGGGCUCAACCCUGGAAGGCCGGUGGAAACUGUCGGGCUAGAGUCCGGAAGAGGCGAGUGGAAUUCCCGGUGUAGCGGUGAAAUGCGCAGAUAUCGGGAGGAACACCAAUGGCGAAGGCAGCUCGCUGGGACGGUACUGACGCUGAGACGCGAAAGCGUGGGGAGCAAACAGG